UUGCAAUGAUGUUUGAAUUUCUUCACCUGACCCCUAUCUGUGAAGAGCAAAAUUAUACGAGCUUUUUAACCCUGAGCAAU
Molecule: small nucleolar RNA, 80 nt
Organism: Podarcis muralis (Common wall lizard)
Lineage: Eukaryota; Metazoa; Chordata; Lepidosauria; Squamata; Lacertidae
Source: Ensembl